RNAcentral lists this ribosomal RNA (497 nucleotides) under uncultured bacterium. RNAcentral describes it as "partial 16S ribosomal RNA". It matches the Rfam family "Bacterial small subunit ribosomal RNA", at positions 28 to 507 of the family's 1533-position model. The record is from RNAcentral.
GAUGAACGCUGGCGGCGUGCCUAAUACAUGCAAGUCGAGCGAACAGACGAGGAGCUUGCUCCUUUGACGUUAGCGGCGGACGGGUGAGUAACACGUAGGUAACCUACCUAUAAGACUGGGAUAACUUCGGGAAACCGGAGCUAAUACCGGAUAAUAUUUCGAACCGCAUGGUUCGAUAGUGAAAGAUGGCUUUGCUAUCACUUAUAGAUGGACCUGCGCCGUAUUAGCUAGUUGGUAAGGUAACGGCUUACCAAGGCAACGAUACGUAGCCGACCUGAGAGGGUGAUCGGCCACACUGGAACUGAGACACGGUCCAGACUCCUACGGGAGGCAGCAGUAGGGAAUCUUCCGCAAUGGGCGAAAGCCUGACGAAGCAACGCCGCGUGAGUGAUGAAGGUCUUCGGAUCGUAAAACUCUGUUAUUAGGGAAGAACAAACGUGUAAGUAACUGUGCACGUCUUGACGGUACCUAAUCAGAAAGCCACGGCUAACUACGUG